UCGUCUUCUUUCUCCUUGGAGCGACCAACGGAGCCGCCGGGACGAUUGCUGACCCAUGCGUCCCAGUCGACGGCACAACGUUUGUUCUAAAGCUGGACCCAUUUGCUUCC
RNAcentral lists this non-coding RNA (110 nucleotides) under Lotharella oceanica. The record is from RNAcentral. Lineage: Eukaryota; Cercozoa; Chlorarachniophyceae.